GAGGGUUGGAUUUUGUGGAUGGUAAGCAUCUGGGUUAUUUUCACAAUUGGUAUUUUGGACAAGUGGAGGGGAAGAGACGGACGAUAUGUUAUUUGGCUAAUCCCCGAGAAUAGGCGUACUGAGGGGAGGGAUUUGGAGUGGAGUCUCGUGUCCUCCUGGAGCGGAAGCAUUGACAGUGAUGGCCAGGUUAGACAAAUCUCGAGUACGAUUUAUUUCCUCCUGAAGCAUUUCUAGCUUUCUUGCGAGUUCCGCAAUCAUCUCACUCUGUUCCGCUAUUACAUUGUCCCUGAUGGUCAAUGUAUUUUCUUCGUCAUUUCCGGUCAUUAUUGAAUGAUGGAGGAUGGGAUUUUGUGCGCUUUUGAUCGGGUGAAGUAAGGAUGUUCUGUCAGCUUAUUUCAACACGGAGUAGUUUUCUA
RNAcentral lists this long non-coding RNA (416 nucleotides) under Capsicum annuum. RNAcentral's name for it is "long non-coding RNA (CANN_LNC020048)". The record is from RNAcentral. Lineage: Eukaryota; Viridiplantae; Streptophyta; Magnoliopsida; Solanales; Solanaceae.